Molecule: ribosomal RNA, 444 nt
Filed under: uncultured prokaryote
Description: bacterial SSU rRNA
Rfam family: Bacterial small subunit ribosomal RNA
Source: RNAcentral
UAGGGAAUAUUGGGCAAUGGGUGGAAGCCUGACCCAGCCAUGCCGCGUGCCGGAAGACGGCCCUACGGGUUGUAAACGGCUUUUCUACUAGAACAAAGAUAAGGAUGCGUCCUUAGUUGAGGGUAUAGUAGGAAUAAGCACCGGCUAACUCCGUGCCCGCAGCCGCGGUAAUACGGAGGGUGCAAGCGUUGUCCGGAUUUAUUGGGUUUAAAGGGUACGUAGGCGGGCUGCUAAGUCUGAGGUGAAAGCUCCUAGCUCAACUAGGAAACUGCCUUGGAUACUGGUAGUCUUGAGUACAGUAGAGGUGGGCGGAAUUCAUGGUGUAGCGGUGAAAUGCAUAGAUACCAUGAGGAACACCGAUAGGGAAGCCAGCUCACUGGACUGUCACUGACGCUGAGGUACGAAAGCGUGGGGGGCGAACAGGAUUAGAUACCCCUGUAGUCC